RNAcentral lists this long non-coding RNA (7113 nucleotides) under Canis lupus familiaris (dog). RNAcentral's name for it is "lncRNA (ENSCAFG00000050232.1)". Lineage: Eukaryota; Metazoa; Chordata; Mammalia; Carnivora; Canidae. The record is from RNAcentral.
UUUUUUUUUUUUUUUUUUUUUUAAGAUGUAUUCAUGAAAGAGUGAGAGACAGAGGCAGACACAUAGGCAGAGGGAAAAGCAGGCUCCAUGCAGGGAGCCUGAUGUGGGACUCGAUCCCGGAUCCUGAGAUCGCAGGAUCACGACCUGAACCAAAGACAGGCACUCAACCGCUGAGCCACCCAGCCGUCCCUGGAAGGCUAAUCUUGCAAGGCUUUGUGGGGAGGAUGGUUUCUAGAAGGGGCUAUGGAUGGCAGAUGGACAUCAUAGUACAGAAGAACACAGCCACUGUCAGAAUGGGCCAAACAGUGGGAUUUUCCAUAUCCUACCUCUCUUUUAUCCUGUUCAGUCUUCUGGGGCCUUUGGCUGAACAUAACCAAAAGGCAGAUGGCAAGGCUGACCCAGGGAUGCAAUCUAUAGGGAACAGGAAAGAAGAGUGGAGAAUAAGUCCAAAUGGGGGGCAGACUGAACCAGCAUGGUAGUUGUCUCUGUUGCCAUGGAUGUGUCUGUGUGUCUCCAGAAUUCUAGUGUCCACUAGCCUAGACCUAAAGUGUGGCUGUCCCCCAGACUGUCCUCUCACUUCUUAAUGUCUAUACUCAGACAUCCUGUUAUCUAUCAGAGAGGCCUACUGACAUCCUGUAUGAAGCAGCACCUCCCUACUACUGCUACUAACCUUAUCCAGUUUAAUUCAGCACAGAACCUGCCAAUGCUUGACAUGUUUACUAUUUACUUGUAGGUCUCCCGCAACUAGAAGAUUAACUCUGUAACAGCAGGGCCAUUUUCUCUUUCCUUCACUGCCUUAUCUUCACACAGAAUGGCACUUGUCCUAUAUUAAAUGCUUGGUAAAUGUUGGUCAAAUGAAAAAGGAGUGUAAGUGAGCAUCGUUAGCCCCUCUACCCCAGGGCAGCCCAGCCUUUCCUGAAGACAAUUCUGUCUGGCUUGUUGCCCUCUUGCUACCCAACCUGUACAUAAUUACCUGCUGCCUGGAAAGGAGUGAGUGGGUCACCUCCCAAGUGUGCUCAAGCUUUGGCCCUUCUUCCUUGCCAGCCGUGGAAGAAUGAAAGCGUGUGUUCAUAAAGUAGAUUUAAAGACAUUUCAGUUUGUUUAUGAACUGGAAACCUCCAAGCACCCCUCUGAGCUAGACUCAGCAGUCACUAGCCACAUUUUGGAUAAGCAGACUGAAUUAUAGAGGGCGAGUGACUUGCCAAAGCUGGUAGUGUUACUAGAGCCCAGGCACUGUGACUCAUAAGGGCUGAACUGGGUUUGACAGAAGUGGUUUCACUGAUAUUCCUUAAGGUUUAGGCCCAGCUCUCUAAGCUUAGGAGCAAAGCCCUGGUUCCACCGAUAUUCCCUUUCCUGGCCUCUGCUUUAGCAAGGGCAGGGAGGUUAGUUCCCUGUUCUUCCCUUCUCGUUCCUCCCAUAUACUAAGGAUUGAGGACUUGCCCCUUUUUUCUUUAGGUCUCACUAGAGAGGUAAUAAGUCUUGUGGACUUAGAGAACAGAAUCGGAGUCCUGGCCUCCCACAGCUUCUCUACCAUUCUGGUAACAAGGAGUGCCCUAUAUCACCUGUUGAAGAGGUCAAGUGUACCUUUAUGUAUAUCUGUGAUGUCAUAGCCUUGGUGUCCACACCAAUGUAGAGGUGUACUUCUAUGCAUAGACUGCUGCUGUGCCAGUAUAGACAGGUUCAUGAGCAAUCAGAGAAGACCCUAGAUCCCUGCACCUCUGCUCUCUUGCUUUGUCCAAACAAAGGUAUAUAGUGUUUGCACUAAGGCUGCUAGACAUUGCUCUCUUGAGUUCCCAGAGAGAGGCUAAACAUGCAAAGACAGUGUGAUAGUGUGGGCAGAGAACCCAGGAUCUAGGAUUUGAAGACCUGGAGCUGAGUCCCAUCUCCAACACUUACCCACUGUAUGAACUUGGGCAAGUCCUCUCAGGUUCAAUUUCUUCAUCUGAAAAUGGGAAUAAUACCUAUCUACCUUAAAGGUGGUUAUGAGGAUCAAAUGACAUAUGUGAAAAUGCUUUGAAAUUGGAAAGCAAUGAGGAGGAGGAUACGUAUUAUCGAGGUCUGACAAUAAAGCUUGGGGAAAGAAAGGAUUCUGGAGAGUCAGGCCCUUCAAAUGCUCCCCUCUCUGUCCAAAUGCAUCCAUAUUAUAGAGAAGGAAAUUAAGGUCCAGACAGAGAAAGAAACUUCCCUAAAGUCACAUAAAUGUUGGGGACAACUGGGGUGUAGAACUUGAUCUCCUGACUCCCAAGCCAGUUCUGAUUCUAGUUUGAGGUGGUGGAGAGAACUAAUUUAUCAGUAGGUGCUGAGCCCCCUAAUGAACUCUGGAAUACCCUGUAUUUGGUGAUGGGCAUACAAUUCAGUGUUUUGGUUUCUUAAAAAAAAAAAUAUUUGAGAGAGUGUGAGUAUGCAUGAGUAGGGAGAGGGAGAGUCUGAAGCAGAUUUGGCACUGAGCCACCUAAGCACCUCCAAUUCAGUGGCUUUUAGCAUUUUCAAAGUUGUGUAACCAUCACCACUAUCUAAUUCCAGGACAUUUUUAUCACUCCCCAAAGAAACUUUGUACCCAUUUGUGGUCACUCCUUAUUCCUUUUUCCCCCUAGCCCCUGGAAACCACUCAUCUACUUCCUGUCUUUCUUAAUUUGUCUAUUCUGGACUUCCACGUAAAUGAAAUCCUGCAAAUGUGGCUUUUUGUGUCUGGUGUCUUUCACUUAGCAUUAAUGUUUUCAAGGCUCAUCUGUGUUGUAGCGUUUAUCAGCACUGCAUUGUUUUUUUCUGGCCAAGUAAUGUUCCAUCAUAUGAACAUAUCUCAUUUUGUUUAUGCAUCAAUUGAGGGACAUUUGGCUUGUUUCUGCUUGUUGGCUAUUGUGAACAGUGCUUCUAUGAACAUUCAUGUGUAUGUUUUUAAUUCUCUUGGGGCAUCUUUUAUUUUUUUAAUGCCAAUUUGCCUUUCUAUUUUUAAAAAAUCUCCAUUGAAAUGGGCAUUUUUUUUUUGUAAAUGGUCAGAUACUAUUUUAGGCUUUAUGAGCCAUAUGACAUCGUGUAUAUAGUUGUCGCAACUGCUGAACUCUGCCAUUGUAGAAUAAAAGCUGCCAUAGGCAAUAUAUAAACAAAUGAGCAUGGAUGUGUUCCAAUAAAACUGUAUUUUUUAAUUUUAAUUUUUUAAAAUUUUAUUUAUUCAUGAGAGACACACACAGAGAGACAGAGGCAGAGACAUAGAGGGAGAAGCAGGCUCCCUGUGGGGACCCUGAUGUGGGACUCGAUCCCAGAACCCAGGGAUCAUGACCUGAGCCAAAGGCAGACACUCAACCACUGAGGCACUCAGGUUCCCCUCCAAUAGAACUUUAAACAGACAGUGGGCCAGAUUUGACCUGUGAACCAUAGUUUGCCAAUCCCUAGUCUAGAUAAUACAUUUACAUGAUUCAAUAUUCCAAAGGUAGGGGUGCCUGGGUGACUCAAUUGGUUAAUUGAGUGUUCAAUUAACUCAAUUGAACAUUGGUAUAUUGAGUGUUAAUUAACACUUAAUUGGUGUUCAACUCUUGGUUUUGGCUCCGGUCAUGGUCCCAGAGUGGAAAGAUUGAGCCCCACAUCAGGGGGGAUGCUCAGCAGGGAGUCUGCUUGGGAUUCUCUCUCUCCCUCAGCCCAUCACCUUCACCUCUACUUGCUCUCUCUCUUUCUCUCUCAAAUAAAUACAUCUUUAAAAAAUAUUUCAAAGGUAGAAAAAGUGAAAAUUCUCCCACUUCUGUCUCCCAGCACUAACUGGGUUUCCCUCCUUAGAAACAAUGAUGUAUUUUAUAUUCCUCUUUCAGAGAAAGUUGAUAAAAAGUUUUUUUUUUUUUUAAGAUUUAAUCCAUUUAUUUGACAGAGCCAGAGAGCACAAGCAGGGGGAAGAGGCGGAGGGAGAAGCAGACCUCCUGCUGAGUAGGGAGCCUGAUGUGGGGCUGGAUACCAGGACCCCGGGACCAUCAAGUGAGCUGAAGACCGAGCCUAACUGACUAAGCCAGUCAGGUGCUCCUAAAAAGUCUAUUUUUAAGUGGCUAUGCAAUAUUCCAAUGUAUUGUGUAUACUUUAACAUCCAUGGAAGGACUAAGAUAUCUGAACGCAUGCCCUAAAAGAACAAUGAUCUAGGUGCGUUGCCCUGACCUGCCUAAUUCACUCCUUCAUCAGAAUACUCUCUUGAACUCCUGGGAUUUGCCUAGGAGUUCUGGGGAUCAUGCCUCAUCCCUUUUGGGUCAAAAACAAGCUCUGACUCUUGGAGAUGCAAUACAUUUUUUUAGGUGGUUUAUGUUACAGUUCCACCGGAGAAACAUAACCAGUAGGAAGGAUAUCUGUUUAUCUAUCUAUCUAUCUAUCUAUCUAUCUAUCUAUCUAUCUAUCUAUCUAAUCUAAUCUAUCAUCUAUCUAUCCAUCCAUCUAAUCUAUCUAAUUUAUUACCAGAGUUGGCUUACUCGGUUGUGGGGGCAGGUUGGCAAGUCUGGGAAUAUUAGUGCAGUCUGUAAGAAAGGUCAGGAUGGAAGCUCAGGUGGGAGCUGACACUGCAGUACACAGGUAGAAUUCUUCAGGGAAACCUCAAGCCUUUAAACUGGUUAGAAGUUGGACCACUCAGAUUAUCUAAAACAAUCUCCUUUGUAUAAUGUUAACUGAUUAUAGAUAUUAAUCACAUCUACAAAAUAAUUUCACAGUAACACCUACAUUAGUAUUUGGUUGAAUAUCUAGGUAUUAUAUAUAGCCUAGCCAAGUUAACACAUGAAACUGAUCAUUUUAGUCCACAUCUGGUCAACCCAGCACCCAUAUGCAUCUCCUUAAACUAUACUUAACUUCCAAGUAAAAACAAUAACAAAGUCAUACUGCCACCUAACAUGAUGCAAUUACCCUAGUACAACUGAAAAUGUGCUAACCUUUUCCCCAAAGAGAAUUCAAAGUCUUUGGGUGAUGUUCACUCUUCUCCUUGAUAAUCCUGUAACUUCAAUAAUUUAAGGUAAAGUUAACUAUUAAUAUCUUUUAUGUUAGAAUACAAGGGGGAUAAGAGAGGGAAAAUACACAGAAAUAAAUAUAUUUAUAAUAAAAUAAGGAAUGAAUACUCAUAGUCCCCCUUUCUGCAGUUGGUUGGGUGGUCAUAGGUGGUAUUUAUAACUACCUUCUUCUACUGAUUACAUAUUUCCUUUGCCCUCAGCAAGCACCUUAGUGCUGGUUGUGGUUCUUUUCCUAGCAGAAUGCCCCCAAACCUUCAUUCUUGAAAGGUCUGUGCCAUUAGAAGUUUUGGCUUAAAUUGGGUUGUUACAGUUUCCCUUUGGUUUUAAUCACAGGACAUAAUAGUACCAGUAGAUGCCUUAAGGCUCUCUUAUAUUCCAGACAUACUUUUCCUUACCUCCAUUAUGUAGUAGAAUCCCAAUUUCCCCUUGGUGGUCAGAAUCAACCACCCCAGCUAGUACAGUAACUCCCUCCUUGGUUUGUUGAUUCAGAGGCAUGAGGAGCUGGGGUGGCAGUCCUAACUUCCAAUUCAAUGGAAUCAUGUCUUCUGGGAAAAGUACUCUUCCCUUUGGCAUGAAGACUUAUAGACCAGCAGAGCAUAACGCAAGGAUGGGAAGAAAAAUUGUACUAGUGGGUCACUGGGUGUUACUACUAGUGAAUAGUAACAUUCCAUUUCCACUCCUUAAUUCCUGGAAGCAUGAAUCCUAGCUGUGGGAGAAACAGCACCAUACCUGAAAUGCUGAUAUAGAACAUAUAUAGUAUCCUGAAGUACAUUGCUACAGUCCUGCAAAGUAUUGUCUACUAGAUCUUCAAAAGGCUAUUCAACCUUUAUAACAAGCUGGCUAUUUCAGGAUAAUGGGGUAACAUGAUAAGACCGGUAAAUUCCAUGGACAUGGAUCCAUUGCUGUACUUCAUUUGCUGUGAAGUGAGUUCUUUGAUUAGAAGCAAUGCUGCUUGGAAUACCAUGACGGUGGAUCUGGAAGUCCACAGAUGGUAGUUUUGGCAGAAGCAUUAUAUGCAAGGAAAGCAAAUCCAUAUCCAGAAUAAGUGUCUGUUUCAUGAAGAGCAAAGCACUAUCCCUUCCAUGAUGGAAGUAAUCCAAUGUAAUCAACCUGCCAUGAGGUAGCUGGCUUAUCACCCCAGGGAAUGGUGCUGGCUCUCAGUUUUGGGCUCUACUGCUGGCAGAUCAGGCACUCAGCAUUGGCUGCAGCCAGAUUGACUGUGGUGGGUAGAAGUCCAUGUUACUCAGCCCAUAUAUAACCUCCAUCCCUGCUACUGGCUGCUAUGUUCAUAAGCCAAUGGACAAUGACAAGGGUGGCUAGGGAAAGAGGUUGACUUGUAUCCACAGAAGAGGUCAUCCUAUCCACUUGAUUAUUAAAAAUCCUCUUCUGCAGAGGUCACCCUUUGGUGAGCAUUCACGUAAGAUACAAAUAGCUUUACAUUCUUUGCCCAUUCAGAGAGGUCUAUACUACUAGGUUUCCUGUCACCAGUUUUCCAAUCAUGUUCCAAGUCCCUAACUAUCCAGCCAAACCACUGGCCACAGCUCGUUAAUCAGUAUAGACUUAAGCCUCUGGCCAUGUCUUUUGCAGACAAAAUGAAUGAGCAGGUACUCUGCUCAAAGUUCUUCACCACUGUUCUUCUGGGAUGUCCUAGAAAGGGGCUAUAGUGCUAUAGCUGUCCACUUUUGGGUGGUGCCUGCAUAUUGUGUAGAACCAUCUAUAAACUCAUCCUGAGGGACUGUUCCUCAGUCAGCUGGUCAUAGGGAACUCUCCCUGAGGCCAUAAUUGCAGACUGGGAAGGUAAUGUGACUAUGGUCAUUUAGGGCUACUUUAUUGUACCAGGAAAAAAGAACUAAGCCAGAAAUAGGGAAAAAAUAUAUAUUUAUAUUUAUAUAUGCCAAGUGCUUGCAAAAAUUUUUUUCCAUUGUUAAUAAAAACAUUUAUUUUGCAUUUUAUACAGAACAACCUGAAGUCUGGAUCAUAACUUGACAGUUACCCAGGGGUUUACAGACAAUGUGUCCAUCUCAGUGUGGUUCUGGGGAUUAGGGAAUCCACACAAACAUAGGCAGGAGUUGCAAGAGAAGGAAGGGGGUACAGUAGGAGUGUAUUUCAAUCCUUUCUUAAAGAAAAAGUCUCAAAAAAAAAAAAAAAA